This 2843-nucleotide small RNA is filed under the name Arabidopsis thaliana (thale cress). RNAcentral describes it as "ATSL197120". The record is from RNAcentral. Lineage: Eukaryota; Viridiplantae; Streptophyta; Magnoliopsida; Brassicales; Brassicaceae.
AAUAUCAUUUACUAAGUUGUUCAUCUUGUUAUCAUCUUGCUAUUACUCUGUUGCUAUUAUGUUUUCAUUAUGUUCAUCGUUUAUGUCUUCUACAAUGAUGUGUGAGUAGUGAAUAGGUUUCUGAGGAUGGGUUAGAGUAGUUUAGAAUUCUCAGUAUGCUAGGUGGUUGAGUUUGAUUUAUAGAUCCUUUCUGGAUUAGUUGUUCUUAAUGCCUAUUGCUUUCUGAUCAACUAGAAUUUGAGCUCAGACAUUUCCGCGCCCAAAAGGUGUUCGAUGAAAUGUCUGAACCACUAAUUCCAGAGAUUCUUGGCUCUGUACCAAGGUAUUGGUUUUAGGGAGCGUUUUGGCUUUAACUUGUUUGAUUCGUAAUGCCUGUUAGGUUAGCUCUCGUCAAUGGUGAUUGAGUCUGGGACAAGUUUAACUUGAGGGUCUCUGUUGCAGUGGCACUUAGAUUUGGUUACCGAACUUGUUGGCUAGGGAUAAUUUAUUGAGCAUGUCAAUUACCUGUAAACUGAGGAAACGAAACUACUCAAUUACCCCAUCCUCGGGAAUUCUUUAUCUGAUUGAUUUCUUUGUUUACUCUACUGUUGUUUACUGCAUCUUAUUACCUGUUGUUUAGUUUUUGCAUUUCUCUCUUGUUACUCGACCUGAUACUCGACCACUUAGUUGUCUGACUGUGCAGUCGAGUAUCUCUGUUACAUUUUCUAUCUGUUACUCGAUUUGUCAUUCGAUCACACCCAGUGCUUGGCAACAAGCUGUGUUGGUCGAGUGUUUCUACUGUUCUGCUUAAAUUUCUGUCUCCUGCAUCUUCACUUAGGACUGCUAGAACACACCAAAACCUGUUAUUGCUUGGCUUGACCCUCUGUGAACUUUGAUUGCAUCUUAAUUGCUAGCAUCACACUCAUUUCGAUUGACAACCUUCAGUACUACAACGAGAUUAUUGGUGUUUUAGGAUAAUUGAAAAAAGACAUAUUAUCAAUUUGGCGCCGUUGUCAUUGGGUUUUUGUUUGUUACAUUUGAGAUUUCAGACUUGCAUAGACCAAGUUCUUUUUCAAUUUUUAUUUCUGUUACUGACUUUGUGAUUUUCUUGUUGUCUUCUUGAUCCAGGUACACCUCUACUGUAUGCAAACUUGAUCAACAUGCAACCAGAACCUUCUUUUCAACGAUAACAUUGACCGCAUCGCUCGCGAACUCAGAGAAAGGAGAAACACAGUCAACCUUUUACCCCAGAAAUCACUCAAAAUGGCUGACAAACAAAAUCAACAGAAUGGCCCUGCAAAUAUUGGUGUUGGAGAUGCACCAAGGAACCACCGUCAGAGGAAAGGAAUUGCACCUCCUGCUAUCCAGAACAACAACUUCGAGAUCAAGAGUGGUCUCAUCUCGAUGAUUCUGGGGAACUCGACCACUUGGAUGAAUUUGAUAGACUCUGCAACCUAACAAAAAUCAAUGAUGUCAGUGAAAACGGAUUCAAGCUCCGGUUGUUUCCAUUCUCCUUGGGCGACAAUGCACACAUCUGGGAAAAUAAUCUGUUCCAUGACUCAAUCACCACCUGGGAUGAUUGCAAGAAGGCUUUUCUAGCAAAGUUCUUCUCCAACGCCAGAACUGCAAGACUCAGAAAUGAGAUUUCUGGUUUUUCACAGAAGACUGGUGAAAGCUUCUGUGAAGCAUGGGAGCGUUUCAAAGGCUACACCAACCAAUGCCCUCAUCAUGGCUUCAAGAAAGCCUCUCUGCUCAGCACUCUUUACAGAGGAGUUCUACCACGGAUCAGAAUGCUUCUGGAUACCGCCAGCAAUGGUAAUUUCCACAACAAAGAUGUUAAAGAAGGCUGGGAAUUGGUUGAGAACCUAGCUCAGUCAGAUGGAAAUUACAAUGAGGACUGCGACAGAACCAUCAGAGGCACAACUGAUUAUGAUGAUAAACACAGGAAGGAGAUCAAAGCGCUGAAUGACAAGCUGGACAAAAUUCUUCUUAGCCAGCAGAGGCAUGUGCACUUCCUUGUUGAUGACGACCAGUAUCAAGUCCAAGAUGGGGAGGGGAACCAGUUAGAAGAAGUUAGCUACAUCAACAACCAAGGUGGCUACAAAGGGUACAACAACUUCAAGACGAACAACCCCAACCUCUCUUAUCGCAGCACCAACGUUGUUAAUCUUCAGGAUCAAGUGUACCCUCCAUAGCAACAACAAGGCCCAAACAAACCUUUUGUUCCCUACAAUCAAGGUUUUGUUCCCAAGCAACAAUUUCAGGGGAACUACCAGCAACCACCACCACCUGGGUUUGCUCCUCAUCAACACCAAAGUCCUGCUGCUCCUGAAGCUAAAUGAAACAGAUGGUACAACAGUUGCUACAAGGACAAGCAUCUAGCUCCAUGGAAAUUGCAAAGAUGUUAUCUGAAUUGCACCAUAAGCUGGACUGUAGCUACAAUGACCUGAAUGCCAAAGUGGAGGCAUUGAAUACAAAAGUCAGAUACUUGGAGGAACAAUCCGCAUCUACCUCUGCUCCCAAAGUUACAGGACUUCCAAGGAAGUCCAUACAAAAUCUAAAGGAGUAUGCAACUGCUCACGCCAUCACUAUCCGCCAGGAUCGAGAGCUGCCAACUCGACCUGUUCCUAACUUAAUCACUGGGGACAAUGAUGUUCAAGAAGGGGAGCCCUCUACUCAGAUUGAUGUCUCUGUUGUUGAAUUCAACCAUUCUGUUGGUUCUCGCCAUCACAUUCAAUCCACCUCAGAAGAAAAAGCAUCUAUAAUUGAGAGAAUGGUAAAACGUUUCAAACCUACUCCAUUACCCUCACGUGCUCUUCCAUGGAAAUUCAAGAAAGCCUGGAUGGAGAGAUACAAAUCUGUUU